Choloepus didactylus (southern two-toed sloth) is the source of this 3786-nucleotide long non-coding RNA. RefSeq lists it as uncharacterized. Lineage: Eukaryota; Metazoa; Chordata; Mammalia; Pilosa; Megalonychidae. The transcript is spliced from 6 exons. The record is from RefSeq and is a predicted model, not a curated record.
AAGCAAGUCUACCUUUUUAGUUGCGUGAAGGGAUCAGCCUGACUUGGACUUCUCCUAGAUUAUGGGCAAAUCCGCUAGAAAUUAACCCAGAAUCUAGCCUCUCACUGGCUUAUAAUGUGGGUUUAAAAAUGCGGAAGGGGAUGGCUAUAAAAGAUUGUGGCAGCUGGCUGAGUGUAGGAUAUGCGGAAAAAGUGGGCACUUGGAGAUAUCGCAUCUGAAUAGUACACACCUGGAGGGAAUCUGUCUGAAAUGCUGAGUUUUGGCCGCUGUACUUGGCACUGGACACAUUCAUCCCAUCAGAGGGGUUGAAGUAUUGUGAAAAUUUGCUGUUUGUUAGCCGAAAACCCUUGAUUUUCUACUCUUGAGAAUUCAGGGGUGAAGCUUUCGCUGUGCUGCCAAAUGCUUGUCACACUUUGCUUUAAACCUGGGAUUUGGGCAAAUGGCUAUUUGGCACUCAUAGUACGAUUGGUACGUAGUCAAUGGUAAUAUAAAGGUGACCUGGGUUUGCACCCUUUCCUCUAAAUAAUUUUUAUCGGCAGAACUCUCAGCACGGUUUAGUGAAAAGGGAAGAUUGGGUUUUCCUUUUUCUUUUUCAGGCUUCAGUGCUGUCAUGGCUCUCUGAGGGCUACCAGUAAGGAUCGAUCGUUAAUCACUAAAGCUAGUAAAAUAAUUUAGCGCUUAGGUGUGUAGUAGAAAGAGCACAGGAUUCAAAAGUGAGGAGACAAGUCUUUUCCAAUAAUCCUAGCUCUGACCUCAUGCUGGUCCUUUCCUUUCUCUGGGUCUCUUUAUCUAUCUCUGUACCCUCAACAGUCUUAUGAAAUAGCAGUACUGUUUUUCGUGUUUUACAGAUGAGAAAUUUAAGGGUAAAAGGUUAAGGAUUUGUCCAAGGUGAGUGGCUGAGAUUGCAUUUUUACACAGGAUAGACUCAUUGAAGUGGAAAUACUACAUCAAAGGUCCUUGGUAUUUACAGAUGUUGCUGCUGUUGCUACUGCUGACACAUGCUUCCUUGGGACAUGGGUGACAUGGAUGGUAGCUACCAGGUCAGGAGCCUCAUCCUCACAGGGUAAUAUCAAAUACAAUCAGAAAUCAUGCCACUGGUGAAGAGGCAUAUUGAGCCCUGUCUGUCCCAGUGUUAACUAGAGAAUUGGGAGAGGCUCAAAUAAGUAUCCUGUAUAUGGUCAUCAAAUGAAUUGUGAAGUCUUGAGUCUCAAUGCAAUGGAGGCUGGCCAAGCUGAGUGUGAGGAGGGUAAUAGGUAAUAAAAACAAUCUUUUUCCUGUUUGUAACCCCUCACAAGAUUGAAAUGCCAAGGAUGUUUUUGAAAAGCGUUUUAAAGAAGUCACCAGAUCUUUCAUGUGAGUGAACUUGUAGCAGAAGAAGGGGCUUUCUCAGCUUUAGGUAAUACAGUGAAGAAAGGCUGACUUUGCCCUGACCUCUGUGAGAGAGGCCCUUUGAAAUUUCAUUUCCAAAGCACAAGUAAAAAGUUAUUUCAUUGCCAUCUAACUUUCUGGACCAUUAAUUUCAAAGCCUUCAGGUUAUUCUAUACUUCCUUCUCAAAACAAUUGGGGUAGGUUAGAUGCUUACCCAUUCAGUGUUUGCCUCUGCUAGUACCAGAAGAACUGAAAUAGUUCACAAGUAAAUUAGGUGGCAUAGGUUGUGUGUCACAAGUAAUGGCAGCACAACACUAAUUGUAUUCCCCUUAGGGAAGAGUCUUUUCUUUCAAACCAGGCUUGUUAAAGGUUUUUCUUUCUCAGACUAUGGAGCUGCAUAAAUCAUGGCAAGAGCCAGUCCAUUGCAGAGGCUCAUUGUUUCAGUGGCAGCCAAAUUCAUGGUACUUUGGAUUGGUAAUUUCAAAGCCAAUUAGGAUAGCAUUUAGUUUUGGUUCUUCAAGUGUCAGUCCCCUAUGGACUUUAGGGAGCACUGAAAGUGUUUGUAAUUACACUAGGAAAUAUCUAUAAAAUGACCUUUCUUAAAGAAUCUCUGCAAAGGCCACCUCUACCUUAAGUUAGUAGUGCCCCCAUCCAGAAGCCAAUUCAUGAGGCCCAGACCACUCCUUAGCCUCUGCCAUUCUUCAUAGAAGUAAUAAAAGUCUAUUAUUUUCCAUGAGGUUGGUAUUGAAAAUGGCAUAACAUUCUGAGAUAGCUCUGGAGCAAUUAGGUCAUCCUUACUGGCAGAUAUUAAGUAGAUAAAGCCAGUUCAGGGAAUCCAAAUAAUGGAAAAGAUGGCUUUUCCCUUAGGAGAAGCACCAAGGGUGCUAUAUGCCUAGAGUAGUCACUGAUACAAAGGGAAUGUCUGCAUUUCUUGCCCCCCCACCACCACAAUCUAUUUUAAAAUGACAUCAUGUGUAAGGAAAUAAAGGUUAGCAUGUUGUUAAAAUUAAAAAAAGUCCUCUGUAAGUCGAUCUAUAUGGGCCGAAAUGGGUGGAAUAAAUCAGGCUUUUGCUUUCUUUCCCUUGCUUCUCCCCUAUGCCUGUUAUCUGUCCUGCUUUUCUUUGUGACAGCAGUUCUGUUGCUUUCUCUCAGCAGUAAUUGAAAAGUAGGAUUUGUUCACAUUUUACAGAUAAUAAAACUGAGAAUCAGAGAGGUUGAGUUAUCAACGUAAUACAGGGAGUCAGUGGUGGAGCUGUGUGUGUCACAUUCCAAAGAUCUUAACUUCAGUGUACUUGCACUAGAAUGUGGCAAGCACAUUUUAAGGUGUUGAAACUGCCUCGUUCUGGGGUCCUUGUCACUGUUUUUUAUCCACGACAUUGUGGCAUAUAUAAAAGGUUCAUUCUUUUUUUAGAAAAAUUUCUGGUCUCAGAUUUAUUUUUUAUUUCAAUUUCAAAGCCAUUUUUUAAGCCACUGUCUUAAACGCAGUCUCUCAGUUUCUCCAGCUAAAUACUCUCUAUGUGGUGUUGGAGUCCCUGCCCAGCCAGUGGAACCCUGGAAGUGUUCUUGGCAUGUUUUCUGUCCUUUCUCUAGUGUUUUUCAUGUAGGACAAUUUUGUUCUUUUUCUCCUACUCCACCAUCUUCCUGGAAGUCCUCAAAACGCUCAUUCUUGAGAGAAGAUACAGAUGCCAGAGAAGAGGCCACAGGUGAUGAGAUAAUGUCCUGGGAUUGGGAAGGGCUGCUGGAAUUUCCAUGCCACACCCUUAACUCUAGGCUGUGCACACUGCAGGCUUCUGUGGAGGAAGAGUGGAUGCUGUCACAAGCCUGCCAAAUCCCAGAUUCCCUUACAGAAGGUCUCAGACACGGAGCUGCAAAGGAUCAUCUCCCCAGCCAAUUGCCAAGAUGGAUGGAUGAGGCAUGGAAAGCUGCUGCACUCUGCAUUUGUCUGUCUGCUCCAACCACCAGUUCCCAGCAUGAGGGCUCUCAGCUAUGGCUCCAUGAAGGGUUAUCACUCGAGCCAAGUGCUGAGGACUGUGCCUGGGACAUGGAAGACUGCUCCCCUCUGCGUUCAUUAGCUGGCUUCAGCUGCCCAUUCCCUGGCAGCAUUCUGGGCUAAACUCUCACCAGUCUUAAAUGUCAGCUUUUCCAAGUACAGUCAAUAUGGGUGUGAAGUCCCUGGCAAGCUGGUGGAACCCUGGAAUUGCUGUUCAUGAGUGCUUUCUGUCCUUUAUCUAGUGUUUUUCACAGAGAAAACUUUUGCUCUGUCUCCCCUAAUCCACCAUCUUGCCGGAAGCCAGUUCCAUUUCUAAAUAGCACAUUAAAAUGUGUUUUUGGGAAUCUCUCCUUCAUUUUCUUAAUGCAAUUUUAUUGAGAUAUAUUCAUAUACCAUAAAGUCAUCAAAAGUGUCCAGUCAGUUCACAG